AUUGAACGCUGGCGGCGUGCUUAACACAUGCAAGUCGAGCGGUAACAGGCGUAGCAAUACGUGCUGACGAGCGGCGAACGGGUGCGUAAUACAUCGGAAUCUGCCUAGUAGUGGGGAAUAACCCGGCGAAAGCCGGGCUAAUGCCGCAUACGAUCCACGGAUGAAAGCGGGGGACUUUCGGGCCUCGCGCUAUUAGAUGAGCCGAUGUCGGAUUAGCUAGNGGUGAGGUAACGGCUCACCAAGGCGACGAUCCGUAGCUGGUCUGAGAGGACGGCCAGCCACACUGGGACUGAGACACGGCCCAGACUCCUACGGGAGGCAGCAGU
Molecule: ribosomal RNA, 326 nt
Filed under: uncultured bacterium
Lineage: Bacteria
Description: bacterial SSU rRNA
Rfam family: Bacterial small subunit ribosomal RNA
Source: RNAcentral